RNAcentral lists this unclassified non-coding RNA (214 nucleotides) under Hevea brasiliensis (rubber tree). Lineage: Eukaryota; Viridiplantae; Streptophyta; Magnoliopsida; Malpighiales; Euphorbiaceae. The record is from RNAcentral.
AUUAUAUGACUGAUAACCAUAUGCCAAAUCACUGUCAAGUGAUAUACCUAACCGUCUGCACUGCUCCAUAAAAACCUGGAGGGCACCAAAGAAACUAGCAGCAUUGGUCCUAUCCAAGGAAUCAGCGCAAUUGUAACGUAUCACUCCAUUUUGAUGUGAUCUUAAGCAGAAUGCUCCAUCAAUGUCAUCGCUAUAAAUUACUUCACCUUUGCAA